RNAcentral lists this ribosomal RNA (1001 nucleotides) under Staphylococcus aureus. RNAcentral's name for it is "partial 23S ribosomal RNA". It matches the Rfam family "Bacterial large subunit ribosomal RNA", at positions 557 to 1561 of the family's 2925-position model. Lineage: Bacteria; Bacillati; Bacillota; Bacilli; Caryophanales; Staphylococcaceae. The record is from RNAcentral. RNAcentral also lists the same sequence under 45 other names.
CGUGUGCUUACAAGUAGUCAGAGCCCGUUAAUGGGUGAUGGCGUGCCUUUUGUAGAAUGAACCGGCGAGUUACGAUUUGAUGCAAGGUUAAGCAGUAAAUGUGGAGCCGUAGCGAAAGCGAGUCUGAAUAGGGCGUUUAGUAUUUGGUCGUAGACCCGAAACCAGGUGAUCUACCCUUGGUCAGGUUGAAGUUCAGGUAACACUGAAUGGAGGACCGAACCGACUUACGUUGAAAAGUGAGCGGAUGAACUGAGGGUAGCGGAGAAAUUCCAAUCGAACCUGGAGAUAGCUGGUUCUCUCCGAAAUAGCUUUAGGGCUAGCCUCAAGUGAUGAUUAUUGGAGGUAGAGCACUGUUUGGACGAGGGGCCCCUCUCGGGUUACCGAAUUCAGACAAACUCCGAAUGCCAAUUAAUUUAACUUGGGAGUCAGAACAUGGGUGAUAAGGUCCGUGUUCGAAAGGGAAACAGCCCAGACCACCAGCUAAGGUCCCAAAAUAUAUGUUAAGUGGAAAAGGAUGUGGCGUUGCCCAGACAACUAGGAUGUUGGCUUAGAAGCAGCCAUCAUUUAAAGAGUGCGUAAUAGCUCACUAGUCGAGUGACACUGCGCCGAAAAUGUACCGGGGCUAAACAUAUUACCGAAGCUGUGGAUUGUCCUUUGGACAAUGGUAGGAGAGCGUUCUAAGGGCGUUGAAGCAUGAUCGUAAGGACAUGUGGAGCGCUUAGAAGUGAGAAUGCCGGUGUGAGUAGCGAAAGACGGGUGAGAAUCCCGUCCACCGAUUGACUAAGGUUUCCAGAGGAAGGCUCGUCCGCUCUGGGUUAGUCGGGUCCUAAGCUGAGGCCGACAGGCGUAGGCGAUGGAUAACAGGUUGAUAUUCCUGUACCACCUAUAAUCGUUUUAAUCGAUGGGGGGACGCAGUAGGAUAGGCGAAGCGUGCGAUUGGAUUGCACGUCUAAGCAGUAAGGCUGAGUAUUAGGCAAAUCCGGUACUCGUUAAGGCUGAGC